CAUGAGCGUGGUGAAGGGGUAGGGCGCGAUGGUGGGCGAGGCGCGCGUCAGGCUCUGCGGUGGGGGAGGAGCGGGCAGGGGAGCAUUGGAGGGGCGAGUGGAAGGGAUGGGGUGGGGUCAGGCUCGGCGGCAGGAGCAUUGGAGCGCGCAACUUGCCUCAGCAUGUAAGGGUCAGGGGUUCAGUAGGUACCAUGAGCAUGGCGCGUGCCGAACUGCUUGGGCGGCGGCGAGGCGCACAGGGGGCUUUCCGCAUGCAAGCACAUAAGACAGCCUGUCCCACGUGUGCCGGAGCCCCCUGACUUCUCACC
RNAcentral lists this long non-coding RNA (308 nucleotides) under Chlamydomonas reinhardtii. RNAcentral describes it as "long non-coding RNA (CREI_LNC000779)". The record is from RNAcentral. Lineage: Eukaryota; Viridiplantae; Chlorophyta; Chlorophyceae; Chlamydomonadales; Chlamydomonadaceae.